CUCUUAAUUGAAGGCUUGUAUGAACGGUUGGACGAAAGAGCGUAGCUGUCUUUGCUGUAAUGUUUGAAGUUGACUUUUGAGUGAAAAGGCUCAAAUAAUAUAAGGGGACGAUAAGACCCUAUAAAACUUUACAAAUGAAUUGUGGUGAAUCUUAAAUUGUUAGUUAAAUGUUGGUUAACUUGGUAUGUGUGUCGUUGGGGCGCCAUUAGUAUAAAUUUUAACUAACUGUUCAUUCAUAAAAUUAACAGUGUUUAUGGACGCAUUUUUGAUCCUUUAUUAGAGAUUAAAAGAUUAAGUUACUUUAGGGAUAACAGCGAA
RNAcentral lists this ribosomal RNA (318 nucleotides) under Palaemon zariquieyi. RNAcentral's name for it is "partial 16S ribosomal RNA". Lineage: Eukaryota; Metazoa; Arthropoda; Malacostraca; Decapoda; Palaemonidae. The record is from RNAcentral.